This is a long non-coding RNA of Heterocephalus glaber (naked mole-rat), 799 nucleotides long. RefSeq lists it as uncharacterized. The record is from RefSeq and is a predicted model, not a curated record. NCBI's taxonomy places the organism in Eukaryota, Metazoa, Chordata, Mammalia, Rodentia, Bathyergidae.
GCUCACUCUCUUGGUGGCCAUCUUUAAAGAUCAUAGGUGAGAUGAGAACCCGAGAGGAGGAAGAGGAGAGGCUGCAUGGAGUGCUCAGUCCCUGACACCUACAAGCGGAGCUCUGGAACUCAUGUUUUCCAACUCAGGAGGAGAAAGGGGGAAUUGGGCAAAAAUUCACAAACCUGUGCGAGGUGGAAGUUGUUCCUCCAGGUCCUGGGGGUGGCUGCAAAUACAGUGGGGUCUGCAGAGGAAAACUUCAAAGCUGUGACAAGGAGGACAGCAAGGCCAGAUGCAGGGAGCACCUUCAUCUCCUCUUGGUAGCUUGUUCACCCCAUUGGCCCAGUGCAAAGGCAGACAAGGAGCAGAGUGUUGGAGUGAGAAGAAUGAUGCAACAAAGUCAUGGGUGUGAGAGUCUGUUGACUGAGCUAGGGUCAUGUGCCCUUGUCUUCAUCUCCAGACAGAAGCAGCAAGUGGAUCUCCCCUCAGCCUGGUCUCCACAUGAGGAGGCAGGACACCCUCCAUGGAAACCAUCAAUAAUGGGGAACAUUUUCCAGAGAAGAAUACAUCCAAACCAAACCCAGUAAAUGUUCAGUAACCUUCUGAAACUUCUGUCUUCUGCUGUGUAGAAAGAAGGAUAAUGGAAUUUAUAUUAGAAGGAGUCAGAGGGGAUUAAAAUGGCAAAUGUACAUUUACUGCUGAGCCUGGCUCAUAAAUGGAAGAUUUGAGAAUUGUUUUUCCUAUAAUUUACAAACUUUCCAAAAAAAUACUGUGAUGAAUUAAUAAAAAAUUAACAUUUGACAUUUUCUUA